CCAAGCCAGAGCCAAAAGGGAAAGCGCGCGAUCGUGUCUCAGCUGUCGAAGUUCGUUCUUUAUUGCCGUGCAGUGUGCGCAGAGAUGAAUUAUAAGGGUAUAAUACCAUAUGAUAACGCCUUGGAGAUUGGCCAGAACCAGUGUGCACUUUGUUGCAGGUAUCCUGUAGCUGCAGACGUGAAGCAACGAACGGCGAGGGAGGCAAACCGAAUUCAUAAUAGUUGAAAAUCCGGAAGAGCUCCGUUGCAUGUGAAGUUACGGUACCUGCAAGUGCAAAUCUCGGCUUGGAAUAAUCUUAUUCUGGCGGGUGCAAUGCCUUGUUGGGCGUGGAGAGCUGAAAUACCCCUGCACCGAGCUAUCCCUGCCCAUUUGGCCUGGAGCCGUCAGUGGCUGUACGCAUCAAACCCAGGGCAAGCAUGCAUCGUGAUCAGAAUGGCUCAAGAUGGUGAGUGUUCUUAGUUGAAGUGAAAGUACUGCAAUCCUUAAACACCAACUUGGGUAUUUUGCUCCCAGGCAAUAAAUGAUGCCCCGUCUGUGAAACCAGUCCAUUGUACAUCUCUUUUGCUGCAUAAAGUUUGUUACUGUUGUCAA
Dermacentor andersoni is the source of this 591-nucleotide long non-coding RNA. RefSeq lists it as uncharacterized. NCBI's taxonomy places the organism in Eukaryota, Metazoa, Arthropoda, Arachnida, Ixodida, Ixodidae. The record is from RefSeq and is a predicted model, not a curated record.